RNAcentral lists this ribosomal RNA (406 nucleotides) under uncultured bacterium. RNAcentral's name for it is "partial 16S ribosomal RNA". It matches the Rfam family "Bacterial small subunit ribosomal RNA", at positions 29 to 526 of the family's 1533-position model. The record is from RNAcentral.
AUUGAACGCUGGCGGCAGGCCUAACACAUGCAAGUCGAGCGAGCGGCGGACGGGUGAGUAAUGUCGGGGAAACUGCCUGAUGGAGGGGGGUAACUACUGGAACCGGUAGCUAAUACCGCAUACCAUCAGAUGUGCCAAGAUGGGAGUAGCUAGUAGGUGGGGUAACGGCUCACCUUGGGGCCGAGCCCUAGCUGGUCUGAGAGGAUGACCAGCGACACUGGAACGGAGACACGGUCCAGACUCCUACGGGAGGAAGCAGUGGGGAAUAGUGCACAAUGGGCGCAAGCCUGAUGCAGCCAUGCCGCGUGUGUGAAGAGGGGCUUCGGGUUGUAAAGCACUUUCAGCGGGGCGGCGUUACCCGCAGAAGAAGCACCGGCUAACUCCGUGCCAGCCGCCGCGGUAAUUC